CUUCCCUUCACCGCCAAGCAUUUUGAAGACAAAUUCUCAUCUAACUUCCAUUAUUUUCCUUCUUCAAUUUGCAGAGAACAUUUAAGAGAGAGUUUGGAAGAAGAAGAGGAAUUUUACUAGAAUUUUGAGGUUGAAGAAGUGGAGGAUAACUCAAGCAAAGUGUAUCCAUGGCUGAAUUUUGGUUCAUUCUGCACAUCACUGGUUUUUAAUUCGGUUUGAACUCUUCAAAAGGAAUUAAAAGGUGAGAUUUACAUUGACUGAAAGUUAACUCAUUUUCAAACAAACUUUAUGGAUAAAGUUGGAGCAAAUUCAGAUAUUCAUUGGGUGCUUUUUGAUGAAGAAAACAGGGCAGUUGGUUUUCACUCGAAAUCAGGACGUCUCUGGUUUUUCUUAUAUUUCAGAGUGUACUAGUAGAGUUAGGAUCUCUAUUUGGUAUCGUUAGAAAGCUUAUGCAAUUUAAUACAACUUUCAUGAAGAAAUCGUGUACCAAAAACGACUAACAAUCAGUUAAAAUGUAGGGACAAGUUAAAGAGGUCGUGUGCGCGCGAUUCUGAAAGUGGUUCUGUUUCGAGGGUUAUCUGAGUUUAUUCAUAGGGAAUAAGAUUUACAUGUCUUCAGGCCGAGAAGAAUUAAACCGAGCUUAUAGACCAAGGAUUUAGUCCAAGACGGAAGAGAUCGAGUUCCCGGUGCCUGAUAGACUACCUUAGUCUGCUGAAGCUCCGCUAUCGAUUGCCAGUACGUGUUUUGAGUUGGGCAUAGAGUCUGUUGUGUUAUGAUGUACAUACACCCUUGUAUGUUAUAGAUACUUCACAGUUUGUAUAAGCUUUAGGAGCUGUAGUUGUGUAAAUUUUUGUUGGUUAUAUUUUGAUUAAGGUGUCUUUAGGUUUACUCGUGAAAUCGGUAAAUUUUGAGGUACACUUCAUGUAUGUGUUUGACUAGCCUAGGAUCCGCUUUGUUUUGUUGCAUGUAUAAUAGUUUAUAUACUAGAUUGGCAAGUUCAUCACAUGAAAGUUUUAAGCAGAGUGGACAGAUACAGGUACAGAAAAGCGUUGUUCGUCGGCUUCACACCAUCUUUCUGUCUAAGGUAGCAGGUAGUUCGAGAGGGGGUGUGACAGCGUAGCAUCAAUUAAGGAUGCAUUAUAGACUCCACCAUGGAGGGUGAAUACGUCGGUGCUUAUGAAGAAGCAAAAGAAGUAGUUUGGUUUAUAAUGUUCUUGCAUGAUUUGGAAGUUGUUCCAAACAUGAACUUACCCACCACUCUAUAUUGUGAUAACAGUGGGGAAGUAUCACCUAAUAAGAGUAGUUGUGCAACGAGGGGGUGUGACGUCACCAAGAUCACUUUGAAGGACAAUAUUGUUGAUCAGUUUACGUAGACUCUCACGACUGAAGUUUUAAGGGUGAACUAGAAAGUCUAGAUCUACAAGAUAUGUAAAUUAUGUAAUCUAGGGCAAGUGGUGUAAUGGGUAUGAGGAUGCCUAGUUUAUUGUAUUUGUAUAUAUAUGCUUAAUAACCUAAAUCCAAAUAACUAACAUCCUAAGCUG
Cucumis melo (muskmelon) is the source of this 1541-nucleotide long non-coding RNA. RefSeq lists it as uncharacterized. Lineage: Eukaryota; Viridiplantae; Streptophyta; Magnoliopsida; Cucurbitales; Cucurbitaceae. The record is from RefSeq and is a predicted model, not a curated record. The transcript has 3 exons.